This 215-nucleotide long non-coding RNA is filed under the name Mytilus galloprovincialis (Mediterranean mussel). The record is from RNAcentral. Lineage: Eukaryota; Metazoa; Mollusca; Bivalvia; Mytilida; Mytilidae.
UUUGAAACUUUGAAACUUUUUAUUUCUCAAAGACCCCAUAAGGGGUAUGUGAAUAUAAACAGUAAUAACAAACAAUAACAUAUAUACAAAAUAAUGAGAUAAUAGAAUGACAUGGUUACAUAUUCAAUGGUAUACAUAAAGUACAUGAUUUAAGGAAUUUGCAGUGGAAGGCAAAUCUAAUUUAUAACAGACAGGACAAUUUUACAAAAUUUGGC